CGGGGCGCUGCGGCCGCGGCUGCAGCUCCUCCUGUCGCACCAUUUGGCUGUCACUGCGUCGCAAAAGCGGCCUCACUUGGCGGCUGCCAGGACACGUGAUGGCCGCGGCCGCUACCUCCCGCCGGCAGGGGUCUCAUGCAUUAAUUUGACAGACAUUUAUUGAAGGUUUCUAGUUCUGUGACCAUGCUUUCAGAACUUCAACUCAUGAUAGAUGAUAAAGAAAUUUUAUGAAAUAUUUUAGGUUAACUAUCAGCUUGGCAUUUCCUGUCCCUAAGAAACAGGUAAGCUUGCCUUGAAUGCCCAGUUUCACAGCCUCUAAAAUCAAGAGCUUCUGCUUCUCAUCCAAUUUUUGAGACUCUGGCAGGUUAUUUACAGAAGGCUGCCUGCUUUUCUCUCCCUCCACAAACACACAACACUUCCUCACUGCCUUUGUUCCUUGGUUCCACCGAUAUUGAUAUGGACCUGAAGCUCAACUUCACAGUUACCCCUAAUACCAAGUUCUCAAGCAUUUAUGAAUUCAUUAACUUGGUACCAAAGAUUUAAGAGGGGUCACGCUAUAGGAUGUGAUACCUUUUACCCUGAAUCUGGGUCCACCUCUCUUUUUCUACCCUCAAUAGAUUAACAAGAAAAUUUUACUCAUUUCUCAGACUGUUACAGUUUGAUCAUACUCAAGUUCUUCUGAUUUUCAACUGUUGUUUCAAGUAAGAUUAUUUGGGAAUUUCUUCUAAAAAUAUCAAUGUUGUCAUGAAAGGGAUACCAGAAAAUACCAUUUUCUUAGCUUGGUAUGUAGCCAUCAAAUGAAUUGUAACAUUUUGAAUUUUAUGUAUUUGUAGUCAAGAAAAAGAUAGUAUGUUUUAACCACCAUUGAGACACUAAACUUUUUAUUCUAACACUCAGUAUCCCUUUAUAUCCUUAAAAUUAUAGAAGACACCAAAGAGCUUUUGUUUAUGUGGGUUAUAUCUUCUGAUAUGUACUGUAUUAGAGCUAAAACUGAAGAAUUUUUUAGAACAAAAGAAUAUACAAGCUCACAUUUCAUUAGCCUUCAGAGUGAGAACUUCAUGCCAUGUCACACCUCUGAAAAUCUCUACACCUGUGGGAAAAUAAGAGUGGAAAAGGCAAGCAGCAUCUUAAUAUUAUUAUGAAAAUAGAUUUGACCUUGCAGACCCCCUGAACCAUACUUUGAGUACUGCUGUUCUAACCUAUAAGACUACCUCUGAUGAUUCUGAAUUAGUAAAGUUUCUCUACAUGUGAAUAUGGGAAUGUGAUCUCUGUACUUCCAGAGUUUAAGAUCUCCUACCAUGUCAAAAGAAUUAUAAGCUUCUGAGCUUUUCAAGUGAAUUAUUGGUGUGGAACAUGAGAAAUUUUGGUUGUCCUUGUCAAAAUGAAAAAAGGAAUGUAUGCAUAAAAAUGUUUAUAUAAAGCAUGAACCUUUUACUACUAGUGCUUCCUUUAUCAGAAAACUAUUGGAACUGUAAAAUGCAAUAAAAAUCAGUAGGCACAAAAAACUUAAAAUCCAUUAUACCAAACAUUUUAAAAGGUUUGUGUA
Manis pentadactyla (Chinese pangolin) is the source of this 1546-nucleotide long non-coding RNA. RefSeq lists it as uncharacterized. NCBI's taxonomy places the organism in Eukaryota, Metazoa, Chordata, Mammalia, Pholidota, Manidae. The record is from RefSeq and is a predicted model, not a curated record. The transcript has 3 exons.